This 253-nucleotide ribosomal RNA is filed under the name uncultured bacterium. RNAcentral's name for it is "partial 16S ribosomal RNA". It matches the Rfam family "Bacterial small subunit ribosomal RNA", at positions 524 to 776 of the family's 1533-position model. The record is from RNAcentral.
GACGUAGGGCGCGAGCGUUGUCCGGAUUUAUUGGGCGUAAAGAGCUCGUAGGCGGCUCGUUGCGUCGGCUGUGAAAACCCGCAGCUCAACUGUGGGCUUGCAGCUGAUACGGGCGGGCUGGGAUUCGGUAGGGGAGACUGGAAUUCCUGGUGUAGCGGUGAAAUGCGUAGAGAUCCGGAGGAACACCAGCGGCGAAGGCGGCAUCCUGGACUGGUCCUGACACUCAUGAGCGAAAGCGUGGGGAGCGAUCCGG